Molecule: long non-coding RNA, 1062 nt
Organism: Corythoichthys intestinalis (scribbled pipefish)
Lineage: Eukaryota; Metazoa; Chordata; Actinopteri; Syngnathiformes; Syngnathidae
Exons: 3
Source: RefSeq, a predicted model, not a curated record
AAAGAAUACAAAACACACAAUUGAAUAAACCAAAAGCAUAACAAACCAAACACAGACCAUAACAAUGGGAAAUGGCUGGAUUGAAUUUAAACUGACCAAGAAAGUGAUCCCAAUAUUCCAACAGAUUGGUUCUACCCACUGGUUCUGUGAGGGAGACAGUCAGAUGUACGUGGUCGAUUGCCAUGGCCUGUAUGAGGUCGAGAAUCGUUCUUGGAAGGAGGAGAGUUUCCCUUCUUGCGCUGGUCUCCGUGGUGAUGGUUUCCUCCUUCUGUAGCACCCACACCACCCUGACUGCCCGAUCGGCACAAGUUCAAGAGAAGAGCUGCAGUAUACUCAAGGGUGGAAUCACUCAGACAGUCUGGGUCAUGCAAUUCAUUCACCAGCCAGCCAAUCAGAUCAUCUUCUAUCAUGGCCAUCUGCUGCUUUCUCCUAAAGACAAAUAUGAUUAGGAUAACGGAUUAAGCAUUACAUUUUUUUUUUUGCUUUGAUCUCUGUGGAAAUCACUGAUUGGAACACAGUUUUAUCCACAAAGGGUUUAUAAAUUCUCCAUUACAUUAGGCUGAGUUUCUGCAGUGCCACCAGCGCUAUCUCUCUUGUCAAGGAGUUCUCCUCCUCCUUCUUCUUGAGUGUCUCCAUCAGAAGUGUUGGAAGCAAUGGGUUUUGGGAGAGAUAAACUCGCCCUGAAAGUAUAAACGUACCAUAAUAAUAUGAAGUCAGUGUUACUGAUCAAAACUCAUAACCUACUGUAACUUUGUAUUGGACUUUUUAUUUCAAUCUCAUCUUUUAGGUCUUGGAUUGCCAAAUUUCUUUAAACCUUUUGUGGUUGAAUAUUAUUUUCAUUUACAUCUCACAUUCAUAACCAUAUCAGACUUAACUGUGAAGUUGUUAAUGCUUACCAUCUGGAAAGGAGGAAAAUGUAUUGAGAAGACUAGCCAUGUACUGUCGCACCAUUUCAUUCUUUGAAGUCAAUAAAUGAAGGAUAGUUUUCUGGAGACAGAAUGAGCAGUGUUAUUUCUAUUAUUUAUUUUUUUUACAUUUCGAGAUAAAAUCCAUAUUAAAAAA